This 1045-nucleotide long non-coding RNA is filed under the name Pelobates cultripes (western spadefoot toad). The record is from RNAcentral. Lineage: Eukaryota; Metazoa; Chordata; Amphibia; Anura; Pelobatidae.
UAUACAGUGUGUGUGUAAACAGUAUUUAUAAUAUAGUGUUGCAUAGUUACAUAAUACGUAUAAUGUGCACAGUUACGGUAAGCAUAUAAUGCAUAUAGAUAGAUAGACAUAUUUUCCAUGAUAGCAAAGAGCAAUUUUUUUAUUUUUUUUUAUUCUUUUGAAUUAGGGAUACAUUUUGGUGAAUGGAAUGGAGAUUUCAUAUCUAAACAACUGGACAACUGAAGAAAAAAAAAAAAAGGAGAAAAAAAUAAAAGCUAGGAUAUGAGGAAAAAAAUGACAAAUGGAUCAGCAAUACCAGAAGGAGCCACCAGAACCACAGCCAAAGAAAAUCUCACAAAAUAAAGGACUCCACUACAGCUUUAAAUGGACGGAAAUACAUAACAAAAUUUGUGGACGCACAAACAGUACGACUCUGGAAAGAAUGUUCCAGGCACACACCAGGACCACUACAGCUUAAUGGAGAAGCAUUUGAUUGCUUCAUCUGUAGCGAUAAUUUUAGUCGGAGAGAAUUGGUAUAUUGUAUAUCUCUAUACAUUGCAGAUUGUAUAUAUAAUACACAGGAUAAAUGGUGUAUAUAUGUGUAUAGUGCAUGUAGAGUGUAUAAUGCAUUGCAGCAUAAGUGGAGAGAGGGAGAGAAAAAAAAAAAAAAAAGAGAAAGGUAAGAGAUGCACUCUCCGGUCUUUCCAAAAAAAAUCAAUUUAUGUAUCUUGAGGAAGACCCGAACGGGUCGAAAUGUCGGUCAGAUGAUGUAACACCUUUAUUGAAUAAACACAAAUUGAUUUUUUUGGGAAAGACCUGAGAGUGCAUCUCUUACUUUUCUAUACAUAUUUCAUAAUAUGGGAGAUUGCACCAAGGCAUACCAGUCUAUACCAGUGACGGUUAACUUGUGGCACGCCGGGCCCUCUCUGUGGGCACGCGGUCAUAGGUCGCUGGGGAAGGGGGCAGUUGGGCCGGUUAUACCGGUCAGCAACCAUGCAGAGUAGGCACCUGCCUGCCCAAACAGCAGGUGCCUACUCUGCUUUGAAGUCUUACCAAAGGUAAGAAG